This 207-nucleotide long non-coding RNA is filed under the name Mytilus galloprovincialis (Mediterranean mussel). The record is from RNAcentral. Lineage: Eukaryota; Metazoa; Mollusca; Bivalvia; Mytilida; Mytilidae.
GUUGGAGAUAUUUAUUUUAAUGAGGCAGUAAUAAACACAGAGGUGAUCCUGCUUAAGUAGUGGAACUUGCUGCGUUGUAAAUGUAAAAAGUAAAUCUGAUAAGACAAAGAAUAUCAUGACCUAAAUAUUUUCUUUAGGUUAAUACAUCAAGUUUUCAAUAGAAAAAAAUGUAACAAACCUAAUUUAUGCAUAUAGAGUUAAAUUUAA